RNAcentral lists this RNase P RNA (382 nucleotides) under Bacteroidales bacterium. RNAcentral describes it as "RNase P RNA component class A". It matches the Rfam family "Bacterial RNase P class A". From Rfam's summary of the family: Ribonuclease P (RNase P) is a ubiquitous endoribonuclease, found in archaea, bacteria and eukarya as well as chloroplasts and mitochondria. Its best characterised activity is the generation of mature 5'-ends of tRNAs by cleaving the 5'-leader elements of precursor-tRNAs. Lineage: Bacteria; Pseudomonadati; Bacteroidota; Bacteroidia; Bacteroidales. The record is from RNAcentral.
GCAGCCGGCCGGUCUGCCGCUGACGCCGCAAGGCGGAAGAGGAAAGUCCGGGCAACACAGAGCAUCCUACUUCCUAACAGAAAGCCACCCGCGAGGAUGGAGUAACGCAGAAGAAAACAACCGCCACGCUAUCUUCUUCACCACGAAGGAGAUACGGGGCAAGGGUGAGAAGGCGGGGUAAGAGCCCACCAGCCGCAUGGUGACAUGACGGGCUGUGCGUCUUAGGAGUUGUAAGGUCAUGUAAACCGACAUUAUGAGGGUUGCUCGCCCCACGUCGGAGGGUGGACCGCUAAAGCCCGGCGGUGACGUCGGGCAUAGAUAAAUGGCAGGCACCGUGCCGAAAGGCAAGGAACAGAACCCGGCUUACAGGCCGACUGCUUUU